GACGAACGCUGGCGGCGUGCUUAACACAUGCAAGUCGAACGGAAAGGCCUCUUUCGGGGGGUACUCGAGUGGCGAACGGGUGAGUAACACGUGAGUAACCUGCCCUUGACUUUGGGAUAACUUCAGGAAACUGGGGCUAAUACCGGAUAGGAGCUCCUGCUGCAUGGUGGGGGUUGGAAAGUUUCGGCGGUUGGGGAUGGACUCGCGGCUUAUCAGCUUGUUGGUGGGGUAGUGGCUUACCAAGGCUUUGACGGGUAGCCGGCCUGAGAGGGUGACCGGCCACAUUGGGACUGAGACACGGCCCAGACUCCUACGGGAGGCAGCAGUGGGGAAUAUUGCACAAUGGGUGGAAGCCUGAUGCAGCAACGCCGUGUGCGGGAUGACGGCCUUCGGGUUGUAAACCGCUUUCGCUCAUGACGAAGCUUUGUGUGACGGUAGUGGGUAAAGAAGCACCGGCUAACUACGUG
Molecule: ribosomal RNA, 467 nt
Filed under: uncultured bacterium
Lineage: Bacteria
Description: partial 16S ribosomal RNA
Rfam family: Bacterial small subunit ribosomal RNA
Source: RNAcentral